Molecule: long non-coding RNA, 4941 nt
Filed under: Podarcis lilfordi (Lilford's wall lizard)
Lineage: Eukaryota; Metazoa; Chordata; Lepidosauria; Squamata; Lacertidae
Source: RNAcentral
AUGUUCACAGUGUGUUCAGGCACCUCUUUUUCUGUAACAGUAGCACUGGAGGUAACCAUGGUUAACCAAUUGUGAGGGCACUGAAGGCACUGGUGGCUGGGUCCCAUUGAGACCAGGAGGGUGGAUGGCAGGAAGGCUGGCAGAAGGUGGUGCCAGAGCCAAUGAGGUCUACAAGGGCAGCACUGAGACAGAGGAAGAAGUUGUUGACAGUCAGUGCCACCCCCUAGACUGAUUGUAAAUAAGGAGGCAGGGAUAUGGGUGCAGGUUCUGGUUGGAGUCUGACUGAGGUUGGUGGGAUGGUCUUCCAUUUGCCUGAGUGGACCAGCCCUUACUGACUGCAUUUCUAGUUCUUCACUCUUGGUUCCCCUCCCUUUCAUUUUCAUUGCUAACCAUGGUUAGUGUUACUUAUGUACCUUUUAGUAAGGUAAAGGGACCCCUGACCAUUAGGUCCAGUUGUGGCCCUCUGGGGUUGCUUUAUUCACUCGCUUUAUUGGCUGAGUGAGCCAGGGUACAGCUUCUGGGUCAUGUGGCCAGCAUGAUUAAGCCACUUCUGGUGAACCAGAGCAAUGCAUGGAAGUGCCGUUUACCUCCCCGCCAGAGCAGUACCUAUUUAUCUACUUGCACUUGGAUGUGCUUUCAAACUGCUAGGUUGGCAGGAGCAGGGACCAAGCAACGGGAGCUCACCCCGUCGUGGGGAUUCGAACCGCCGACCUUCUGAUCGGCAAGUCCUAGGCUCUGUGGUUUAACCCACAGUGCCACCCGUGUGUACCUUGGCCAUCGUCAAAGCCUAGGUGAGCGAGCCAAAAUUGCAAGGGCAAGUUUAUUUAUUAUGUUUAUACACCACCUUUUCCUCCAAGGAGAGCAAAGUGUGCACGGGUUCUCCAAUUCCCUCUUUUAUCCUCACAACAACAUGCAAGUCGAUGGCUGGCCCAAGGUCACCCAGGAAGCUCCACAGCCGAGUGGAUAUUCACACCCUGGUCUCCAAGGUCCUAGUCCAACACUCCAGCCCUUGCACCACACGAGCUGUCAUGCUGAGCUGGGAGAGGACAGCAGUUCUUCCACUUUUUACUUUUUCCUCACUGAGAGAAGGUGAGGUGUAUGCUGGCUGGGGCUGGUGGGCAGCUGUAGUCCAAAGGAUCUGGACAGCAACAGGUUGGUAGGGGCUGGUUUAGGUGUGUAUGUAUAUUUUAAUGAACUGAACAGGGUGAAAGAUUAUGAGUCCAAGUGUAUGUGCAUGGAUAUCAAUUUAAUAGUGUUUAGAUAUUUUUUUUUAAGUUGCUAUUUUGUUAACAUUGUUUUGAAGAUUAUAAAUGCCUUAUUGAUUUCCUAAUCAUAUAAUAUGACAUGCUGUAAUUGUGAUAUUUAGCUUAUUUUUAAUUGCUGGUUUGUUUCACAGGUUAUAAUUGUUUUACUGAUGGUUUGUUACUUAUAUGAUUUAGGCUAUUGUCAAGGCUGCCUCAAGUCUCAGCUCACAAAAGACCAACGCCUAUGUCUUCUUAUAUACAAAGGUGUUUAUUGCAGUUCAUGGUUUGCUUGACAUCCUAGGCGCGCAGCCUUACGUCUCUUACGCUAGACCGCUGAAGUCCCCUCUGAGUCAGUCCCUCCCCUGCACCAAUUUAAGAGACUUGCGCUGCUCCACCUCUUUCUCUCCUUCCUUUUCCGCAGGGUCCUUCUGCCCGCUGGGGUUGCGCCCCUUCUGGAUUCCACUGACGCUGAAUCCCCAGACUGCUCUUCCCCCCUCCUGCGGGCUUUGGGACCUGGCCCCUCCUCCGGGCUCCCUGUACUUCCGCGCGCCUCUACAUUUGAACUAGGCGCGCGCGCCAAACCUCUAACUUUCCUUUUGACAGUUACACUACUCCCUUCACUGCUCCCUCCCCUUCCGGAAGGGCGGCUUGCUCUGACCUCCCUCCUUUCUCUGCUCCCGGAGCUGCUUCCUCUGACACACUGGAAACUCCACCCCUUCGCUGCACUCUGGUGGGGAGGCUGGUCCUGACGCCCAGCUGCCACUUUGGGAUCCUCCGCUGGCCCCCUGCUCCUGACACGUCCCUCCUGGGGCUCCCUGGCCUUAACCACCGGCGCCCCUUCUGGGAAUCCUCUGAUUCGCUGGAAAGACUCAUGGAAUCUCUUGAGUCAUUGUCAUCCUCUUCCUCGCUGGCUUGGAAUUCCUCCCCAUCGCUCUCCAUCUCCUGCCUACCCUGUCCCUCUCUCCCUGAACCCCUGACAUCCAUACUUUCUGCUGAUUUAUUAUCUUAUUGCUGUUUAUUGUUUGUAAGCCACUUUGGGAUUUGUUUGAAUGGGAAGCAGCAUAGAAAUACAGUCAAUCAGUCAUUACCUUUUGACCUGCCCUGGUAUGUCAACUGAGCUGAUUCUUCACCAUUACUGGUAAUAGUUUUAGUGCUCUGCUAGUUUUAAAUCUUGUUGGUUUCAGUGCAGUCUUUAAUCACAUUUGAUGCUUGCAUUAAUUCAAUGUAAACUCCCCUGGAAGGCAGCAUAUAAAUUAAAUUAAAUAAAUAGUAGCAUGCAAUGGGUAUUUUUAUUUAUACAGCAGAAUAAAUCUGCCGUCAUGACAUAUGCUGUCCGCACUAGUAAAGCAGUGUGAAGUGGCAACCUGUCAGGAUCCGUUUCCCUGCAAAUAAAACACAAGCUUAACUGCCACAUACUAUUUUAUAAUUCCAAUGAAAUUCAUCCAUUUAAAAGGAAGCAUUUAAAACUUGGCCUGCACAACAUAAGAUUGGUGGGCUGAUGAGCAGACCUUUCCUUUUUAUUUGGGAUCUCCUGGAGGAAUUCAACUAUAAUUUGUGGUCCUUUCUUACAUAAGGGGAAACAGCUAAGCUCCACUUCAGACUACCAAACCUGAUGGAUGGGUUUGUGGUGAAAUGCCUGUGUCACUGCUUCCCCUGGAUUCAGAGGUAUGGGGUAGCCAAGUUGGUACCUAUUUUUGCAGGCAGCAACCCAUGUCAUUCAACGUGAAAAUUCCUAGGAGAGUGUGUUUGUGUGCACUGGCUGCCUAAGUCAACAAGGAAAGUUGAUGGAGAUGAGGAGGAGGAUGGGGAGCAAGGAGAGAGAUGAAACUUCUUCUUAUAUGAAAAAGAAUCCUGUGGUGUAUGUGGGGGCCUGUGCAAAAAAUGGACACUUGAAGAUGGAGGGUACAGGAUUCCAGCAGAGAGCUUCACCCAGAAGUCCUUUUUUUGGUUGUAUUACAUUGUACUGUCCAGCAGCAAUACAUUAGGUGAGAAGUAAGCAAGGUGGAGUUAAGGAGAUCUAAUGCCAGCUCUGUGCCAGUUUCUCAGCCCCCUCAGUCACUGAAACAGGACUAUUGCAGCAGCUGCUGUCAAAAAUCUAGCACAGAAGCUCAUAAUAGCAGCCCCAUAGCCACACCUCCAAGGGGAGUCCAAAAAUGCAGGCAGCAAGGUCCAUAAACUACCCAGCUGCUCUGUGAAGAUGUCAUCACUUCUGGGGUGGGGGAAAGUCUCAGAGCUCUGUUUCCAAGAACAGCAACAUUCCCACUGAUUCCACUUCACAUUUCACAUUAUUCUGCUGCUGUCUGGAUAACCCAGCUCAGGGGUUUCCAAACUUUGGUCCAUGGACCAACAGUGGUCUUCAGGCUUCAUUCAGGUUGCUUGCAGCAUGACCACAUUAAAUAUCCACAUUGAUUUUAAUACAUAUUUCUAUUGCUUUGAUUAUUUCUUGUACUGUAUUACAGUUCGAAUUAAAUGGAGUGCAAAAUUUAUUAUAAUAGAAAACCAUAUGAGAAAUAAAGAAAGCCAUAAAAAUACAAUAAAAAUCAUACAGCAUCUAACACGGUGCAUUGCAAUUGCUACAACAUACAGAACAAUCAUUAAGUGGUUGUCAGGGGCUAGGCAGAGGAGGAGGAAUGGUGGAGACCGCCUCCCCAUCCUGGCCCUUACAGGGAAGAGGAAGACAGUAUAGAUUUACAACAGUGGUUUGCGGGAGGUCGCAGUCAGAGGCGGAUGAGGGGGAAAGUUGGAAAUAAUGGGAGAGCCAGAGCAACACCUGGCUGACACGGUGUCAUUAGAAAGCAUUGCAGACCCACAUUCUCCCAGAACCCGGCGAGCCUUAAAAGCAGGAGAGCAAAGAGUUCAAAGACAGAGAGCACUUAGCGGCACCCGUAGAGGUGGUGAUGAUGAUGACGCAUGAGGAAGGGGGGGUGGAGAUUCACUUGGGAUAACACCAUUAUCCAAGAGGGUGGGUUCUAUAGCCUCUCUCUGUAAAGUCUGAACUGAGAAAGGACAGGAAUAAAUUUUUCCUUCUCUUUAUACUUUCCUAGGCAACCAGCUGGGAGCCACUGACAGCAUUCUGACAGUGAUUCACCAUAUAACGUUUACUGCACAUGUAACUUGUUAAGAUACAGUUGUACAUUUAUCCACUCCAUGUUUACAGUAUCUCCAGGCUUUGUCUUGCACAUGGCACCUUAGUAUGUUUGUUGUUUGAAUGGUUACAAGUCUAUCUCUAUUCUAGCUAUUAUUCCAGGAAAUUUGGUUUUAUACUUAUAAGCCAGUUUGUGGUGUUGUUGUUUUGUUGUAUUAUUAUUACUGUCACCACAUUUGAUACUUUGUGUAUAUACUUUGCAGUGAUUCACCAAGACCACCAGCAAUUUUCAAGUUGUCCAAGGAGAGAAAAGUUUGGGAACCACUGACCUAGAUCACCAUCCUGGCAAAUGCACCGAACUAGCUGUUUUCGGCAUUGUGUACUACAUUUGGAAAGAUUGUGGCAGAUUCAUUGCAAGCAGCAGUGGCACAGAGCAUCCAGCCAAAGCAGUGAUGCAAAGGGCUGGGAUGGGAGCGCAUGUUCAAAAGUGCCUUUUCCUAAUAUUGAUAAUUCCAUGAGCUCAUAUGCACACACACACACACACACACACACACACACAUACAAGUUAUAUAACUUAGGAAAUAAAUUUUAGUUGGGUCCGGUGUCACGAGC